RNAcentral lists this ribosomal RNA (202 nucleotides) under uncultured bacterium. Its description in RNAcentral is "partial 16S ribosomal RNA". It matches the Rfam family "Bacterial small subunit ribosomal RNA", at positions 524 to 726 of the family's 1533-position model. The record is from RNAcentral.
UACGUAGGGGCAAGCGUUGUCCGGAAUCAUUGGGCGUAAAGAGCGUGUAGGCGGCCCGGUAAGUCCGCUGUGAAAGUCCAGGGCUCAACCCUGGGAUGCCGGUGGAUACUGUCGGGCUCGAGUCCGGAAGAGGAGUGUGGAAUUCCUGGUGUAGCGGUGAAAUGCGCAGAUAUCAGGAGGAACACCAGUGGCGAAGGCGGCA